AUCCAGCUGACGAGUCCAAAACUGGACAAAACACGCAUCCUGGAU
This 45-nucleotide non-coding RNA is filed under the name Schistosoma curassoni. The record is from RNAcentral. Lineage: Eukaryota; Metazoa; Platyhelminthes; Trematoda; Strigeidida; Schistosomatidae.